AGUGAACGCUGGCGGUAGGCCUAACACAUGCAAGUCGAACGGCGGCACAGUAAGAGCUUGCUCUUACGGGUGGCGAGUGGCGGACGGGUGAGGAAUACAUCGGAAUCUACUUUUUCGUGGGGGAUAACGUAGGGAAACUUACGCUAAUUCCGCAUACGACCUACGGGUGAAAGCAGGGGAUCUUCGGACCUUGCGCGAUUGAAUGAGCCGAUGUCGGAUUAGCUAGUUGGCGGGGUAAAGGCCCACCAAGGCGACGAUCCGUAGCUGGUCUGAGAGGAUGAUCAGCCACACUGGAACUGAGACACGGUCCAGACUCCUACGGGAGGCAGCAGUGGGGAAUAUUGGACAAUGGGCGCAAGCCUGAUCCAGCCAUACCGCGUGGGUGAAGAAGGCCUUCGGGUUGUAAAGCCCUUUUGUUGGGAAAGAAAAGCAGCAGGUUAAUACCCCGCUGUUCUGACGGUACCCAAAGAAUAAGCACCGGCUAACUUCGUG
This 492-nucleotide ribosomal RNA is filed under the name uncultured bacterium. RNAcentral's name for it is "partial 16S ribosomal RNA". It matches the Rfam family "Bacterial small subunit ribosomal RNA", at positions 29 to 507 of the family's 1533-position model. The record is from RNAcentral.